UUGUGUGGACUGCAAAUAAAAUGAAUUGAAAAGGACGCGCUCGUUGGUAUCGCUGUUUGGAUAGUUGCUCACGCCUCACAGUUGGCCUCAGUUUUGGACGGUUUCAAUCGGAAUAUAACUCCCCAGCACACCAAAACACGUCGAAAACUAAGGUCUAUUGUGGACAACACUACGGAUAUGAUAUAUUCUUGGAUGAACAGACCGAAGGUCACUUUUCUUGGGCACUAUAUUUGUUGAAUUAGCUCCGCCUUAGCAUGUUCAAAAAUAAAGGACAAGUGUGCAAACGAGUUAUUGAACGAAUAUCUAUCGGUUGAACUCACCUGCAACGGAAAGACCAAGAACAAAUUCAUUAGCGAGUCAGGCACAUUAUCCGCAAUUAGUUAGGCCCCAGCAGACAAAUCUGCAAAGCAAGCAAACAAACUGCGAACUGCUAAACCAUAAAACCAGAAAAGUCGUCCAACUUUUCCAGCAAACGACCCAACAACAACCGCCCGAAAAAAAGCCCGCUCCUCCCCCUCACCGAUUUCGUCCGAACAAGGAUGCUGUCCUGGAGCUGCUUCCUCGUGGCGAGUAUAUCAAAACUUGUUCCUUGUUUGCCGCAGUUUUGUGCGAGCGGGCAGCGCGGAAAGUUUGCUUCUGCGGAAGCUAGGCGGGUGGCUAUCGGAAAUUCCGUGUUAUGCGCCGCCUUGCAUUUGUGUUUUCGAUGGUCCUGCAGCCGGACCGCCGGUGUAGGCAGUCCUGUCAACGGUGACCGGCGGAUGUCGGGCAGCUGGAUUUUAACGCUAGACUAUAGACGGUGGAGAGAUAUGGCACCUGAGGAUUGGGCUUGGUUUCAGCAGCAAAACGACGACACGUGGUCCACCAUCCAAGAAGGAGUGCAAGUGGAAGUGGAAGUGGAAGGAGCAGAGAUGCGACAGGGCGCAAACCACUUAAGUGCCAAAGCAAUUUAAAGCCGAGGCCAAAAUGCCAAAACGAAUUUGCUCCGCAGUCAGAGGAUGCCACAGAGGGUGGGUGGUCGAAGGCUCCAAAAACCGGAAGGUAACGCAUGAUGGCUCUAUGCCCGAGUGGGUGUGUGCGGCUUGGCUUACAUAUGUACGUACUUUGUGUAAAUAUGUGUCUAACAUAUUUUGCAAAAAUAAAC
Molecule: unclassified non-coding RNA, 1141 nt
Filed under: Drosophila yakuba
Lineage: Eukaryota; Metazoa; Arthropoda; Insecta; Diptera; Drosophilidae
Description: GE29193
Source: RNAcentral